RNAcentral lists this ribosomal RNA (256 nucleotides) under uncultured bacterium. RNAcentral's name for it is "partial 16S ribosomal RNA". It matches the Rfam family "Bacterial small subunit ribosomal RNA", at positions 100 to 353 of the family's 1533-position model. The record is from RNAcentral.
GGACGGGUGAGUAACGCGUGGGUAACCUGCCCUGUACAGGGGGAGUAACAGCUGGAAACGGCUGCUAAUACCGCAUAAGCGCACGAGGAGACAUCUCCUUGUGUGAAAAACUCCGGUGGUACAGGAUGGGCCCGCGUCUGAUUAGCUGGUUGGCAGGGUAACGGCCUACCAAGGCAACGAUCAGUAGCCGGUCUGAGAGGAUGAACGGCCACAUUGGAACUGAGACACGGUCCAAACUCCUACGGGAGGCAGCAUG